This 211-nucleotide non-coding RNA is filed under the name Pragia fontium. Lineage: Bacteria; Pseudomonadati; Pseudomonadota; Gammaproteobacteria; Enterobacterales; Budviciaceae. The record is from RNAcentral.
GUAGCAUGUGCGGGUUCCGGCCUUUUAAAUAAAGUUAAAAGGGAAUCUGGUGUAAAUCCAGAGCUGACGCGCAGCGGUAAACAGGAAAAAUAACAGCCGCAUCAUUCGCUAUCAUCUGGCGAUAGGAUGCAGACACUGUCUAGCAAGACGGGAAGUCGUUGUUAAGUAAGUCUCCUUAAGCCCGAAGACCUGCCGGAAAUCUGUCGCAUUU